Molecule: ribosomal RNA, 254 nt
Filed under: uncultured bacterium
Lineage: Bacteria
Description: partial 16S ribosomal RNA
Rfam family: Bacterial small subunit ribosomal RNA
Source: RNAcentral
UACAGAGGUCUCGAGCGUUGUUCGGAUUCAUUGGGCGUAAAGCGUGCGCAGGCGGUCUGUUAAGACCGAUGUGAAAUCCCCGGGCUUAACCUGGGAACUGCAUUGGUGACUGGCAGGCUUUGAGUGUGGCAGAGGGAGGUAGAAUUCCACGUGUAGCAGUGAAAUGCGUAGAGAUCAUGAGGAAGACCAGUGGCGAAGGCGGGUCUCUGGACAGUUCCUGACACUGAGGCACGAAGGCCAGGGGAGCAAACGGG